This 301-nucleotide ribosomal RNA is filed under the name uncultured bacterium. Its description in RNAcentral is "partial 16S ribosomal RNA". It matches the Rfam family "Bacterial small subunit ribosomal RNA", at positions 509 to 809 of the family's 1533-position model. The record is from RNAcentral.
CAGCAGCCGCGGUAAUACAGAGGGUGCAAGCGUUAAUCGGAAUUACUGGGCGUAAAGCGCGCGUAGGUGGUUUGUUAAGUUGGAUGUGAAAUCCCCGGGCUCAACCUGGGAACUGCAUCCAAAACUGGCAAGCUAGAGUAUGGUAGAGGGUGGUGGAAUUUCCUGUGUAGCGGUGAAAUGCGUAGAUAUAGGAAGGAACACCAGUGGCGAAGGCGACCACCUGGACUGAUACUGACACUGAGGUGCGAAAGCGUGGGGAGCAAACAGGAUUAGAUACCCCAGUAGUCCCUGUCUCUUAUAA